Molecule: non-coding RNA, 37 nt
Organism: Raphidiopsis brookii D9
Lineage: Bacteria; Bacillati; Cyanobacteriota; Cyanophyceae; Nostocales; Aphanizomenonaceae
Source: Rfam
AGUGUUUAAACCUUUGAUGCCAUUAGGCGUUGAGCAC